GAGGAGAAGCUCUUGAGCGCAUUUAUGAGCGUUUGGAUGCAAUGGAUGCUGCAACUGCUGAGAAACGUGCUGCUGAAAUAUUAUUUGGUCUUGGUUUUACCAAAGAGAUGCAAGCGAAGAAAACCCGAGAUUUUUCUGGUGGAUGGAGAAUGAGGAUCGCUUUGGCACGUGCCCUGUUUAUGAACCCAACUAUCUUGUUGCUUGAUGAACCUACUAAUCAUCUUGGUAAGUUUUUUUUUUCUUAUAGUAGUUUGCAGCUUAAUCUUUAUAAUAAUGCUUGUUUUUGUUCCUUUUUUGGAUGGCUUCAUAAUACUUGAAGCUACUAGCACCAAGUGGUAAAUAAUAUAUGUACUUUAAUAUUUUCUCUUCCCCUUAAUCUGGUGUUGAUCCACAUGAAAUCAAAUUUGUCAGAGAUAACAUUCUACUUUUAGCUCUCACGUAUACAAGUGUGAAGCAUUAGCAAUGAUCUGUAUAUUCAGUUUUUCUAUGUUUGUAUUAUGUGUAGUACCUGUAUGAGAAUGUGAUGUGCCCACUUUUGACAAUACCUGUGUUACUUGCGAUUUUUUAACAUUUUGUAUACAAGUUAUGUGCUGCAUUAACUGCGAAUCUUGUAGUUGCUCAAUUGCAUGAUGUAUUUAGUACUGAAAUACGUAUGUUGCUUUAGUAAGCAACCUUUAGCUUAAAUCAUCAAAAGUUUCUCUUAAACUGAUACACACAUUAAAAACGGUGUGUGUACUGUGUACUAUUAUACUACGAUAUUUGUUUAAGAUUGGUUAAUGAUUUUGAAUCUUCCAUUUGGUUUAUGUUCUACUUGGUUAAAAAUUUGUUGUGGACUGCAAAUAUGUCUCUUCUUCUGAUCAAAUGUGUUUUCUUGGAUGAGCAUGUUACUCUGUUUUGUUUGACAAUUGCAAAUGCUGCUUGUUCAACCUAUCAUCUCUAUUGUUAACAAAUUAUGUCACUACUCUAAUGUUUAACUGCAUCUAAAUACAGAUUUAGAAGCUUGUGUUUGGUUGGAAGAGAUGUUGAAGAAAUUUGAGCGUAUCUUGGUUGUUGUUUCUCACUCCCAGGACUUUCUAAAUGGUGUCUGCACAAAUAUCAUACACAUGCAGAGCAAACAGUUGAAAAUGUAUACAGGAAAUUUUGACCAAUAUGUUCAAACCCGUUCAGAACUCGAGGAGAACCAGAUGAAGCAGUACAAGUGGGAGCAGGAUCAGAUUGCUAAUAUGAAAGAGUACAUUGCUCGAUUUGGACAUGGUUCAGCUAAAUUAGCUCGCCAGGCACAGAGCAAAGAAAAAACUUUAGCAAAAAUGGAGCGUGGUGGCCUCACACAGAAAGUGGUUAGGGACCAGGUUCUGGUUUUCCGAUUCGUUGAUGUAGGGAAUCUUCCACCACCAGUGUUGCAAUUUGUUGAAGUCUCGUUUGGCUAUACCCCGGAUAAUCUCAUCUACAAGAACAUUGAGUUUGGUGUCGAUCUUGACUCAAGGAUUGCAUUGGUUGGACCCAAUGGUGCUGGGAAGAGCACAUUGCUGAAGCUGAUGACAGGCGAUCUGGUUCCGAACGAGGGCAUGGUACGUCGGCACAAUCACUUGCGCAUUGCGCAGUUCCAUCAACACUUGACAGAGAAACUUGAUGUGGAAAUGUCGGCUCUCCAGUUCAUGAUGAAAGAGUACCAAGGAAAUGAGGAAGAUAAGAUGAGGGCAGCCAUUGGGAGGUUUGGGCUAUCUGGGAAAGCUCAAGUAAUGCCAAUGAAGAACUUGUCAGAUGGGCAAAGAAGCCGUGUUAUUUUUGCAUGGUUAGCAUGGAGGCAGCCACAGAUGUUGCUCCUGGAUGAGCCAACUAACCAUUUGGAUAUUGAGACUAUAGACUCACUUGCUGAGGCAUUAAAGGAGUGGGAUGGAGGCUUGGUUCUCGUAAGUCACGACUUCAGGCUUAUAAACCAAGUGGCCAAAGAAAUUUGGGUGUGUGAAAAUCAAGCUGUGACCCCCUGGUCUGGUGAUAUCAUGGGUUUCAAGGCACACUUGAAGAAACAAGCUGGUCUAUAAGAUUGGAAGGGUCAAAUAUGCUGGAUUUACAUAUAUUCUAUAGUAAGGUGUACUAGGCUUACGGUUAUCAAAUCCCAUUUUUGGAGUAAUACGUUUGUAUGUUCUUUCACAUGGAUGAUGAUGAAAGCCGGUGGAGCAACGGAAGAUUCUUCAUGACAAUAUUAUUUAAAAUAUAAAAUCUGUACUGCUGUCUGUAUUUUUCAGCUGAUAUAGUAGUAGCUUAGUUUACAUUUUGCUUUGUGUUGGUACUAUAUUUGCAUUUAGUCUUGGUUUGUGCCAAGAAAUAUACUCAAGGGGGAUCAUGGAUGUGUUGCCUAUGUAAAACCUAUCUAUUUGAUAUAUGAAUCAUGUUUUCUCGCCAGUCUUUCCUCUUCUGAUUCCUAUUUGCUCAUAAGUCAUAGGGGGACAAUAGGGAAAUACUACCAAUGCAUAGUAGUUUCUUUUCGUUCUAGAGUUUGCAGGAAAAAAAAGUGCACCGGUAAAUUGUACCAAAUUGAACUCCUGGUAUUCUAUUUUUUGAUUUUAACCAAUAUCAUUAGAUAUGUUCUUAAAUUUAAUGAUAUAAUUUUUGAUAAUAAAACCCAAUGGCAUUUAGUUUUUUCGAAUAAAUAUGUUUCUGACAAUUUUAAUAGCAAAAACAUGAAAUUUGAUUCUUGACUAUUCUCAUAUUAAUACCUAUUUUCUCUGUUUGAUCUUUUUUAUGUCCUUUUUAUAAAAAUGUUCUUUUGAAAUAUUUAUUCUAUUCUAUUUUCAAAAUAAUUAUUUCAAUUUUUUAUAAAAAACUAUGAACUUUUUAUUUUAAGUAUUUAAAUAAUACUCCAUCCGUCCCAUUUUAGUUGUCACAUUUGGUUUUGUGCCGGUCAAAUUGACUAAGGUUUGACUAAGUUUAUUAAUAUUUUAUCAAUUGACAAAAUAAAAAAAACAUGUCACCAGAAUUAACUUUUAAUCUACUUUAAAAUGUAAUUUUCAGUUUUUUAAAAUAAUGAGUGAGUGAUUUAUAAUAUUUGAUCAAAAUUUAGUCAAUUUAACCAACAAAAUUAGAAAUGUGACACUAAAAUGGGAUGGAGGACUAUACACAGACCUGACUUUGAUGACAAAUAAGCAGUUUUAAAACAUUACUAUACCAAUUUUUAAAAGAGAAAAUUGGUUAAAAAAGGAAUUGUCAAAAGGAGUAAAACAAAAAACAUACUCUCACGUGGGUUUAAGGAAGAAAAGGUCCAAGUGUCCAACAUAGGACGGUUUGACCUAACUAACCUUAACACCGCAUCCCCAAUAUAUCAUCGACGCAUGAUACAACAACACGUAACCCUCCACCAAAACCCUUAUUAUAAUAUAACACACACAUAUAUAUUCUUCUCGAACACCCCAGAUCUUCAAACCCUUGUUCCAUCUCUCUAGGUACCCUCCUGUCCUUCACUCCACAAUAUAUACGUUUGAUUGACGUUUUAUUCGAUUGGUUUUGAUGAUUUUGUUCUUCUGUUGAGACAGGAUCAAGAAGAAAGAAGAUGGUGUCUGAUGCAAGCAAAAAGAAGGCUGCCCAGAAGAAGGCAGCUGCGGCAGCCAAAAGGGGUGGCAAAUCUGUUGCUGCUGCUAUUGCCAAGGUUUCCAGCAGUACUAGUACCGAUAAUUUGAGUAGUAGGGUUGAAAAUCUUCAGAUUUCUGAUCGGACCUGUACUGGGGUUCUCUGUUCUCACCCUCUUUCCAGAGAUAUUCGUGUAUGUAUCUCCCUUUAUUAUUCAGUUUCCCCAAUUUUGAUUCGUUAUGUUUCUACAGAUAUUGUGAAAGCCUGUUUAUUUGUUGAGUUCUUGGUAAUGAAAAUUUCAUCUUUGCCUUUUUGAAGAAACAAACAAUCUUUGGUUGAAUCAAGAUUGGGAAAUUUUAUGAGAAUAUGCAUAAUUCGUUAAUCUUGGUUGGAUAUGUGUUUGUAAAGACUGUAGAUUUGUUAUUAUUUCGGUUUUUUGUUAAUGAAAUUUUGAUAUUUGAUUUGUAAAAAUUGAGAAAAUUAAUCUUUGUGACUUGGUUUAACUUGAUUUAUUUACCUAUUUUGGGAACAAGAACUAAACGUGCUUAGAAUCUGCUUGUAGAAUAAAGCCAGGGACUCGGGGCUGGGGAUGUAAAAUGUUUGCAGCAGACUGCAGACCUUGCCUCUUAUGUAAAGAUCCCGGCUUUCGAAGUUUGUGACAAAAUAGAGGCAUCAGUACAAUUUAUACAAGGUGAGAGAUGGUAAAUAUCAAGUACUGGAAUUAGUGGAAUCAAGAAACAUAUUAUUAACAAAACAUAUUAUUAACAAAAGAAGGAUUAAAAUACAGCACCAAUACAAAUUAUACAGGAACAUCAAGUACUAGUAUUAGUGGUAAUAAACAAUUAUAUUAAAGAAAAUAGGAUUUAAAACGAUAACACCGAGUCCGAGAGAAACUACUACAAGUCCCUCCAAGACCUCUAUACCAAGUCCAACAUGAUGGGUAACAGUUGUGAACAUAAAUCCAUUGUUUCUAAAUCUGUCUUGCAUCAACUCCUAUAUGACCUCAUGAGCUUAUAAAGGUUAACUCAUGUCUAGUAGCGUCAGCUGCUUAUACCAUGCCCUAGGCAUCAUGCCUUUCUUCCUCACCCAAAUAAGUAUGUUUACCACCUUUCUCAUUAGUGCUGAAGAUGAUUACUUAUGGAUGGCGUCAAAUCAUCACAUUCUUUAUAAGAAAUAAGAAACUGGGUGUUUCGAUGAUAUUUCAUAUUUGGAUUAUCUGAGAAAUAUAAUGAAUCUAUGCCAGGCAAGACUAAUAGUUGGAUUUUGUUAAGUUAUCUAUAAUACUUUGUGAUAUAACUCUUGGAUGAUCCAGGGAACAGGGCUGAAAUUUUAAUAUGUUGAAUAGAUAGUACCGGUUUAGGUUUUACAGCUAAAACUUUUAGGAUUGUAGGGGUUGUUUUAUCUUGCUUAGGCUUUUACUUGUACAUUUAAUGUAUAUUUUAGUUAUUGACAUGGCCGCUAGAAGAUUAAACUGUAGAUCCCAAGCAUUAUAGACAAAAUGUGAAAGGUUCAAAUGCACAAGUAUUUCAAUUUCUGUAGUUGACUAGUUAUCAUGUGAGAGAUAUCAGUGAAAUGUGAGAUGGGUGAAAAUUGGAGCUUCUGAUGUUGUAGGUUCCACUCAGACCUCAUUGUUUAUAGCCAAUCAGCCACGGUACCUAGGCAAGGACCUAGGAUUGCGGAUGGCUAACAAUCAAUAGGGUGCUCCAACCUCCAAUAUAGAUAUUUUCUUAUUCUCUAUUUGUUUAAACUGUUGUGCAAGUUUCUUCACUUGUUCAUUUUUUGGUCGAACUUUUAAAUACUGUCGUGUCUUUACAAAACGAACUGCAGUUUGUUGCCCUUUCUUCUUUAUAACCUGUAUUGCUUUUGUUUGCCUGUCCACUGUGGUUGUAUUGAUGCAGUGCUGAUAAUAUUUUUUUCUCGCAGAUAGAGUCGCUGUCUCUGACCUUUCAUGGACAUGAUCUUAUUGUUGAUUCUGAGCUGGAGCUUAAUUAUGGCAGGUUUGUUUUGGUGAUUGAAAAUUUUAUUUGAUGUGUUUAUGGUCAUUAGUUAUUUAGAUUUAUUAACUCUACAUGCAAUUUGUCUUUUCUUUACCAGACGAUAUGGUUUGCUCGGACUUAAUGGCUGCGGAAAAUCUACUCUACUUACAGCUAUAGGGCGCCGAGAACUUCCGAUUCCUGAUCACAUGGAUAUUUUUCAUCUCACGAGGGAGAUUGAAGCAUCUGAUAUGUCUUCACUCCAGGCUGUGAUAAAUUGUGAUGAAGAGAAGAUUAAACUGGAGAAAGAAGCUGAAGUUUUGGCCGCUCAGGUUUGUACUUAAAGUGAAAAAAUUUUGUGAUGGCAUCGUGGACUUGUUUUAUUUGUGAAUCAGUUGAUAAUAUCAGUUUUCUGUGUUUUAUAGGAUGAUGGUGGAGGAGAAGCUCUUGAGCGCAUAUAUGAGCGUUUGGAUGCAAUGGAUGCAGCAACUGCUGAGAAACGUGCUGCUGAAAUAUUAUUUGGUCUUGGUUUUACCAAAGAGAUGCAAGCGAAGAAAACCCGGGACUUUUCUGGUGGAUGGAGAAUGAGGAUUGCUUUAGCACGUGCCCUGUUUAUGAACCCGACUAUCUUGUUGCUUGACGAGCCUACUAAUCAUCUU
This 6196-nucleotide long non-coding RNA is filed under the name Daucus carota (carrot). RNAcentral's name for it is "long non-coding RNA (DCAR_LNC003842)". Lineage: Eukaryota; Viridiplantae; Streptophyta; Magnoliopsida; Apiales; Apiaceae. The record is from RNAcentral.